This is a long non-coding RNA of Labrus mixtus (cuckoo wrasse), 1056 nucleotides long. RefSeq lists it as uncharacterized. Lineage: Eukaryota; Metazoa; Chordata; Actinopteri; Labriformes; Labridae. The record is from RefSeq and is a predicted model, not a curated record. The transcript is spliced from 3 exons.
AAAACAGCUUUUAUACACAAGGGCCCUUUUAUACACAAGGGUCCAUGUAAACACAGCUCUGACAACAACACAGCCAGCGGGACUCGAGCUUCUCACUCAUUGUAGACAGUCAAGACUCAGAGACACAUUAACACAGGAUAGACUGGAUUUCUGAUAUAUUUAUGUGUAACAUGUUGCACAUUCUUCCUUUAAAAGGAUUUUGGUCCUCCGUUGAAAGCCCGUUGAAUCACGCCUUAGCACCAGUCCAUUACAGAACCGACAUGUUUGUACCAUCACCCUGAUACUCCGAAUUACCUCGAUUCAUCCAAAGCAUAUAGAAAACAAAUGUUUUAUUUUGCUUUUAACCAACAGACUAUUAGUUUGAGAUCAUAUUUGUAUAUUUUUGUAAUUUCACGUAAAGCCUACUGCCAUUUCAAAACCUGAAAUGUGAAAUUCUAUAUGCAAGAACCAUGAAAUGUUUCUUUUGAUGUGAUUAUGGGGUAGAAUUGGGAAUGUAGCCUUCCGCUCUGAAGACAUGAGAGCGUCCCUUGCCUUAGUCGGUGUUUCCUACAGGAAAUGUUGCUCAAACACACCUCAUGUUAAAGUGCUACAUCCAAUUUGCCAGAUUUAUAGUCACAUUUUUCAAAGACAUUUUAAUGGUUCCCUGACUUUUUUUUAAAAACUAUAAUUAAAUCAAAUGUGAUAAUGUGUACUUUAUUUAUGAUCGAGUAGUAUUGAAUCCUUCGUCUUCAUACCUGAAAUUACUUGAAGUGUGUGCCUGUAAUGUUACCUCAAUGACAAACAAUUCAACCCCCUUUAUAAUGUAAGGGAACAUCUUAAGUGCUGAUAUAUUAUUGCUGUCAAAGAUGUUGUUAUGAACCCCCACUGAGUGGAGCACUGUGAUAUUAUUGAACACCAACAUACUGAAUAAAGCACAAUGGUGGCAGCACUCGAUAGUCUUGCUAUUAAAGGUCACAUAUGAAAAAUACCCUUAACCAGGUUUUUCUAACACUAAUAUGUGUCUCUAGUCUGUCUAUAAAUAAUACGAAUGAUAAGAAAAAUCCAUCCUCUCUGUCU